RNAcentral lists this ribosomal RNA (254 nucleotides) under uncultured bacterium. RNAcentral's name for it is "partial 16S ribosomal RNA". It matches the Rfam family "Bacterial small subunit ribosomal RNA", at positions 524 to 776 of the family's 1533-position model. The record is from RNAcentral.
UACGUAGGGUGCAAGCGUUAAUCGGAAUUACUGGGCGUAAAGCGUGCGCAGGCGGUGAUGUAAGACAGGUGUGAAAUCCCCCGGGCUUAACCUGGGAACUGCAUUUGUGACUGCAUCGCUGGAGUGCGGCAGAGGGGGAUGGAAUUCCGCGUGUAGCAGUGAAAUGCGUAGAUAUGCGGAGGAACACCGAUGGCGAAGGCAAUCCCCUGGGCCUGCACUGACGCUCAUGCACGAAAGCGUGGGGAGCAAACAGG